ACUACAGCCUGAACACCACAACAAUUAUUACCACCACCGAUACGACAUGUAACGGGGCGGGCUGACGCGUACAGAAAAAGAGAAAGAAAAAAGCCCGCACCUAAACAGUGCGGGCUUUUUUUUA
Regulatory RNA element from Hafnia alvei FB1, 124 nucleotides. NCBI's taxonomy places the organism in Bacteria, Pseudomonadati, Pseudomonadota, Gammaproteobacteria, Enterobacterales, Hafniaceae. The record is from Rfam.